CCUACGGGAGGCAGCAGUGGGGAAUUUUGGACAAUGGGCGAAAGCCUGAUCCAGCAAUGCCGCGUGAGUGAAGAAGGCCUUCGGGUUGUAAAGCUCUUUUGUCAGGGAAGAAACGGGUGAGGGCUAAUAUCCCUUGCUAAUGACGGUACCUGAAGAAUAAGCACCGGCUAACUACGUGCCAGCAGCCGCGGUAAUACGUAGGGUGCAAGCGUUAAUCGGAAUUACUGGGCGUAAAGCGUGCGCAGGCGGUUUUGUAAGUCUGUCGUGAAUCCCGGGCUCAACCUGGGAAUUGCGAUGGAGACUGCAAGGCUAGAAUCUGGCAGAGGGGGGUAGGAAUUCCACGUGUAGCAGUGAAAUGCGUAGAGAUGUGGAGGAACACCGAUGGCGAAGGCAGCCCCCUGGGUCAAGAUUGACGCUCAUGCACGAAAGCGUGGGGAGCAAACAGGAUUAGAUACCCUGGUAGUCCACGCCCUAAACGAUGUCUACUAGUUGUCGGGUUUUAAUUAACUUGGUAACGCAGCUAACGCGUGAAGUAGACCGCCUGGGGGNGGUACGGUCGCGAAGUAAGUUAAAACUUAAAAGUUAGUAAGUUAGUUAGGCGUUGNGAGUGCGAGGACGACGACGAGGGAGGAGG
This 634-nucleotide ribosomal RNA is filed under the name uncultured bacterium. Its description in RNAcentral is "bacterial SSU rRNA". The stretch from base 1 to 542 matches the Rfam family "Bacterial small subunit ribosomal RNA", at positions 338 to 873 of the family's 1533-position model. The record is from RNAcentral.